Molecule: long non-coding RNA, 740 nt
Organism: Lolium perenne
Lineage: Eukaryota; Viridiplantae; Streptophyta; Magnoliopsida; Poales; Poaceae
Source: RefSeq, a predicted model, not a curated record
GGCUGAGCAGCUUGUUCUUGUUCUUCUGGAGUAUGUGGACUGAAGUUCAGAUCCAGAACCCUCCCUACAUCAUCCUCCACUUCUGGAGGAGUUGAGUUGAUAUCAAUGAGCAGGACCAUUUUCGCGUAUUAUGGACCAGCUGCAGAAAAGAAAUCCAUGUAUGAGGAGGAGCAGUUAGUGGAGAAGCACACCAACAUCGCCGCAAAAAGCACGACAACUAAUAUGAUUGUUACCUUACUGUCCAUUGCAUGAACAUCUGCUUUACAUCGAGAUUCUGGCAUGAUAAUAGUGAUUCAUGGCAGCUACCUAAACUAAGCAUUACAUGAUUACAUGGUCUGCAGGAUUUUAUACUGAUUGUUACUUCCUUUGAUGCAGAUCACAAGCAGAAGAUGGCGUCGGUGUCCCUGUGUCCAACAACGUGGUAACCUGGUAGUUAUGCUGUUUCUGCUUAUGAUCAGCGGAUACCAAGAUACUUUGAUCCCGGGGAAACUAUAUUGGAAACUUGCUUUAACUGUGGAUUGUUUGGACACAAUGCGAAGCAGUGCACGCAGGUUGGUCUCUCUAGCUCCGAGGAAUUAUCGCUCGGUGACUUGGGAGCUACAAGAACGGGUUCAUGUGGCACGACCUCGCCGAGGAUGACCUCGUCCUCCCGGCCACAGACGGCGAGUAUGUGCUCAAGGGCUCCGAGCUCCUGGACCAACCUUCUUCUGUGGUGUCAUCUUUUGCUUGUUUAAAUAUAC